Molecule: long non-coding RNA, 1176 nt
Organism: Phacochoerus africanus (Common warthog)
Lineage: Eukaryota; Metazoa; Chordata; Mammalia; Artiodactyla; Suidae
Exons: 3
Source: RefSeq, a predicted model, not a curated record
CUUCUGCUUAAAAAUUCUCCCCUCCCCACGCUGCCCUGGCCGCCUCCUCAGCCUCUCCUGUGACUCCAUUAAACACCUCUUCCGAGAAGCCCUCCCUGACCAUGCGGCGGAGGGAGACCCUUCUGUCCCCGCUUCAGUGUGCUCUAGAGAAUGUGCAUUUGCGGCUCAAGGUACCUGAAACACCUGCAUUGAGACCCUUUUACCACGGCAUCUCUGCUUGAGGUGUUUUGGACCACACUGUGUGUAUUUAGAUCCCAAACCUGGGAUCAAGGACCUUAACACCUCCAAUUCUCAUGGGGCUGGACGUGAAAUCUCACUUCUGGGUCGUUUUCUCCAGAAGAACGCUGUGCGUUAAGGUGUGUCAGUCUAUUUCCUGGUCAGAGAGACUGAGGCCCCGCCGGCCUUAGCCUGGGCCGGUAAGGAGGUAGUGAAAGGCUCUCCAUUACUUCCCGGCCUCCACUUACCACAAACUUGGAGACUCUCCUCUCCUCGAUGCGGGCGGAAGCGAUCUCGAAGAGCAGUUUGACGUGCCUCCAGCGGCACUUGCGCGUCCUCCAGUAUUCCUGCAGCUCCCGCGUGGUCAUGCUGGAGUUGGAGCUCAGGCUGCUAUGGGCAUCUGCAAGGACCGCACUCUUAAGGACUAGCGCGGAUCAGUGCGCUUUGGGGUCCAGAGCUGGGGAGGAGGCUGGCUCUUCUGGGACGCGCCAUCGGAAUCCCGAAGAGUGGUGACUAUCCUCCUCCCCAUCCCUCCAGGUAGAAGCCCAGGAGGGCAUCUGCCAGCUAUGCCCACCCCCACCCCCGCCCUGCACCCAACCUGGCUGAAUCCGUCCUGCCACUGACAACCUGGAAGGGCCCACUGGCUCCAAAUGGCUUCUUGGAUGUGAAACGUGCCUCAUCCACGACCGGCCCUUGUGAAACGCCGGCGCUCCCGAAGAGCACGGAUGUGGCUGGUUGGUUUCCGCCCUCCCUAAGCUCUGCUUCCGUGGUCGCGGAUGGACAGGCUGAGCUAACGGGCCAGCGGAGGGUGGCGGGAGCUGUGAGGAUGCUGGGCUCCCAGCUCAGCUUGGCGGGCCCCUCCCUCCGGGGCAUCUGGCUUCCCAUACCCGCGGCUGUUUCCUGCACUUGCCACUCUGCCUUAAAUGCCUGGAAAAGUAAUACUGUGUUUCUUACACCUCC